Molecule: long non-coding RNA, 889 nt
Filed under: Equus caballus (horse)
Lineage: Eukaryota; Metazoa; Chordata; Mammalia; Perissodactyla; Equidae
Description: lncRNA (ENSECAG00000048258.1)
Source: RNAcentral
GCGACGUGCCGAGAAUCCGGCCGGCCCCGCGCCGAUCAGGCUGCGGGCCGGGCCCGGUGUCGGGGUGGGCAGGGCCCUGGCCGACCCUUCCCGGCCAGAGACCCCGCGGCUUCGUCCACACCUUGACUUUCCGAGGGAACGCGGGGACACAGGGGCCCCAAGGCAGUUGGGGGCGCCCCGGGGCCCGGGGCACCUGGAGAUGCGCGGCUCCCUCCCGGCAGAGGAGGGCGGGCUCGCCCGCUCCCGGGGCAGGAGGUGGACGGAGGAGCCCCAGUCCCAGCUCAGACGGGUUCCCUCGCCACCUUCCGGACAAAGUGUCAAGUACAAGUUCAAGUUCAGGGCCAAGCCCAGGGGGUAGGGGCGAGCCUUCCCCGGCCUCCUUUGUUCUUCGAGAUAAUCGCUCCCAAAUCCCCUCCGGGCGGGGCCCGGCAGACGCCCCCGCCCCGCCCCGCCCCGCCGCGCCCCGCAGGAGCCGCCUCCUCCCGCCCGCCGGCGCGGCGCCUGUCCCCUGGUCCCGGCGCCCCAUCUCGGGGCCGCCGAAGGGUCUGGGGGCUCCGGCGGGGGGGAGGCGCGAUCCGAGUCCGUGGGAGCCUCCCCAGCCCCGCAGUCCCAGCAGCAAACCAAGCUUGGCCGGACGGAUGCUCACGCCGAGAAAGAAGAAUCACUCACACGGCUCAAAAUUCAAAAGGAACAAAACGCACACCGUCUCCGGGCCUGUACACACCUCCGCCUCCGCUCGGGCCCUUUCCCCGCUCCUGACUCCUCCUGCGGGUCCUCAGGGCUCAGCUUCCCUGGCUCCGCAGCUGCGCUGGCGGGGUCCCUCCUGCCCCUGGGAGCCUACAGCGCCGCCCCCGGCCACUGCCACUGUCUGCUUCCCUGCGAGCCUCCC